This is a small nuclear RNA of Suncus etruscus (white-toothed pygmy shrew), 107 nucleotides long. Lineage: Eukaryota; Metazoa; Chordata; Mammalia; Eulipotyphla; Soricidae. The record is from RefSeq and is a predicted model, not a curated record.
GUGCUCGCUUCAGCAACACAUAUACUAAAGUUGGAACGAUACAGAGGAGAUUAGUAUGGCCUCUGCACAAGGAUGACAUGCAAAUUCGAGAAGUGUUCCAUAUUUAA